Molecule: ribosomal RNA, 1053 nt
Filed under: uncultured actinomycete
Lineage: Bacteria; Bacillati; Actinomycetota; Actinomycetes; Actinomycetales
Description: bacterial SSU rRNA
Rfam family: Bacterial small subunit ribosomal RNA
Source: RNAcentral
UGUCUGGCCACACUGGGACUGAGAUACGGCCCAGACUCCUACGGGAGGCAGCAGUGGGGAAUAUUGCACAAUGGGCGCAAGCCUGAUGCAGCGACGCCGCGUGGGGGAUGACGGCCUUCGGGUUGUAAACCUCUUUCACCAUCGCGAAGCCAGUAGUUUUUGCUAUUGGUGACGGUAGGUGGAGAAGAAGCACCGGCCAACUACGUGCCAGCAGCCGCGGUAAUACGUAGGGUGCGAGCGUUGUCCGGAAUUACUGGGCGUAAAGAGCUCGUAGGUGGUUUGUCGCGUUGUCCGUGAAAUUCCCUGGCUUAACUGGGGGCGUGCGGGCGAUACGGGCAGACUGGAGUACUGCAGGGGAGACUGGAAUUCCUGGUGUAGCGGUGGAAUGCGCAGAUAUCAGGAGGAACACCGGUGGCGAAGGCGGGUCUCUGGGCAGUAACUGACGCUGAGGAGCGAAAGCGUGGGGAGCGAACAGGAUUAGAUACCCUGGUAGUCCACGCCGUAAACGGUGGGUACUAGGUGUGGGUUCCCUUCCUUGGGAUCCGUGCCGUAGCUAACGCAUUAAGUACCCCGCCUGGGGAGUACGGCCGCAAGGCUAAAACUCAAAGAAAUUGACGGGGGCCCGCACAAGCGGCGGAGCAUGUGGAUUAAUUCGAUGCAACGCGAAGAACCUUACCUGGGUUUGACAUGCACAGGACGACGGCAGAGAUGUCGUUUCCCUUGUGGCCUGUGUGCAGGUGGUGCAUGGCUGUCGUCAGCUCGUGUCGUGAGAUGUUGGGUUAAGUCCCGCAACGAGCGCAACCCUUAUUUCGUGUUGCCAGCGCGUAAUGGCGGGGACUCGUGAGAGACUGCCGGGGUCAACUCGGAGGAAGGUGGGGAUGACGUCAAGUCAUCAUGCCCCUUAUGUCCAGGGCUUCACACAUGCUACAAUGGCCGGUACAAAGGGCUGCGAUGCCGCGAGGCUUAGCGAAUCCUUUAAAGCCGGUCUCAGUUCGGAUCGGGGUCUGCAACUCGACCCCGUGAAGUCGGAGUCGCUAGUAAUCGCAGAUCAGA